Paramuricea clavata is the source of this 536-nucleotide non-coding RNA. NCBI's taxonomy places the organism in Eukaryota, Metazoa, Cnidaria, Anthozoa, Malacalcyonacea, Plexauridae. The record is from the annotation of a GenBank genome assembly.
AUCAUUAGUUUACAGUAUAUACAAAUUUGAAAAAUAUCUAUUGAGUAUUGGGCAUAUCCUGCUUCAUUAAAUUCUUAAAUUAAAUAGGACUGCCAGUUUUCAAGAUCUAUAUUUCGAUGAUAAAAUUCAGUUAUCAAAUGUAGAAAACGUUGAUGGAAAAUUAAAGAUUUUAGUAAUUUCAACUUUCAUGUUUUUCGUAGAAUGUUGUAAUUGUUUAGUAAAAUAAUUCUAUUUCUAUCGGUGUGAAGGUUUUGCUACCAGCAAACAACGACUGGGUUUGUUGGGUGCCAUAUUGAUACCCUGGUGGAGGUUGAUAUGUGUUACCAAGGUUGCUAUAUGUGUUUUGGUUGCUGUUGGCAUUGUUAUAGAUUUUCAGAUCAUGACCUCCACCAAAUACUGCUCCAUAAGAAGAAUGACAGUAGAUUGCGUUGCCAUUUUUACCGUUAAUCAUCGGACAUUUGAAUGGUUGCAUGUUGUUUGGGUUACGUAAUGAGAACAAAAAUGAUGCGUUGGAACUUUUGUACUGACCUGAACCU